AUGUCGAAGCAAGGGAAGGCCAAGCCGCUCAAGCAGGCCAAGGUCGCCGAGAAGGACUAUGACGAGAAUGACCUGGCAUACCUCCAGAAGAAGAAGGAUGAGCAAAAGGCCCUGAAGGAGCUGAAGGCCAAGGCAGGCCAGAAGGGUGCGCUGGGAGGAUCCGGUCUCAAGAAGAGUGGGAAGAAAUGA
RNAcentral lists this ribosomal RNA (189 nucleotides) under Triticum aestivum (bread wheat). RNAcentral describes it as "partial small subunit ribosomal RNA". Lineage: Eukaryota; Viridiplantae; Streptophyta; Magnoliopsida; Poales; Poaceae. The record is from RNAcentral.